AGGCCACGGCUCCAGGGACCAGUGCGCACGCCGGGGCUGCGCUCCGGGUGUCACCCCGAGGCCGCGGACAACUGAAUAAACACGCUGCAGCGCUGCGAUCUGUCAAGGGCUGGGGCCGCCU
Loxodonta africana (African savanna elephant) is the source of this 121-nucleotide non-coding RNA. NCBI's taxonomy places the organism in Eukaryota, Metazoa, Chordata, Mammalia, Proboscidea, Elephantidae. The record is from Rfam.